GACGAACGCUGGCGGCGUGCCUAAUACAUGCAAGUCGAGCGGAUCUUCAUUAGCUUGCUUUUGAAGAUCAGCGGCGGACGGGUGAGUAACACGUGGGCAACCUGCCUGUAAGACUGGGAUAACUUCGGGAAACCGGAGCUAAUACCGGAUAAUCCUUUCCCUCACAUGAGGGGAAGCUGAAAGACGGUUUCGGCUGUCACUUACAGAUGGGCCCGCGGCGCAUUAGCUAGUUGGUGAGGUAAUGGCUCACCAAGGCGACGAUGCGUAGCCGAACUGAGAGGGUGAUAGGCCACACUGGGACUAAGACACGGCCCAGACUCCUACGGGAGGAAGCAGUAGGGAAGCUUCCGCAAUGGACGAAAGUCUGACGGAGCAACGCCGCGUGAACGAUGAAGGCCUUCGGGUCGUAAAGUUCUGUUGUCAGGGAAGAACAAGUACCGGAGUAACUGCCGGUACCUUGACGGUACCUGACCAGAAAGCCACGGCUAACUACGUGCCAGCCGCCGCCGUAA
RNAcentral lists this ribosomal RNA (512 nucleotides) under uncultured bacterium. RNAcentral describes it as "partial 16S ribosomal RNA". It matches the Rfam family "Bacterial small subunit ribosomal RNA", at positions 28 to 523 of the family's 1533-position model. The record is from RNAcentral.